This 68-nucleotide transfer RNA is filed under the name Marmota monax (woodchuck). Its description in RNAcentral is "tRNA.Val". Lineage: Eukaryota; Metazoa; Chordata; Mammalia; Rodentia; Sciuridae. The record is from RNAcentral.
GGAUUGUGGCUCAGUGGUAGAGCACCUGCCUCACACACAUGAGGCACUGGGUUCAGUCCUUAGCACCA